GAGGGUACAGCUGAGUGGUGGAGCGCAUGCCUAGCAUGCACAAGGUCCUGGGUUCAAUCCCCAGUACCUCCA
Molecule: transfer RNA, 72 nt
Filed under: Camelus bactrianus (Bactrian camel)
Lineage: Eukaryota; Metazoa; Chordata; Mammalia; Artiodactyla; Camelidae
Also listed under: 2 other names
Rfam family: tRNA
About the family: Transfer RNA (tRNA) molecules are approximately 80 nucleotides in length. Their secondary structure includes four short double-helical elements and three loops (D, anti-codon, and T loops). Further hydrogen bonds mediate the characteristic L-shaped molecular structure. tRNAs have two regions of fundamental functional importance: the anti-codon, which is responsible for specific mRNA codon recognition, and the 3' end, to which the tRNAs corresponding amino acid is attached (by aminoacyl-tRNA synthetases). tRNAs cope with the degeneracy of the genetic code in two manners: having more than one tRNA (with a specific anti-codon) for a particular amino acid; and 'wobble' base-pairing, i.e. permitting non-standard base-pairing at the 3rd anti-codon position.
Source: Rfam by way of RNAcentral